UCAAGAGACAUCCCAGGAGGACUCCAUUAUGCCCUGCACAUAAAAGGCAACACCUAUCACUAAAGACACCUCUGACUCUGCGCUGCCACCCGGCAGUGCGAGGACCACAUACUGACCAGGUGUGGAGCCGAUGCCCAGACCCGUGAUGGCAGAAAAACACCAGUUUGCAAGCAGAAACGCCCUCAGCUUGGAGGAGUGUGGUCACAUGUUGAAAAUGUGGGAGCUUGAUUCAGGCAGCUCUGAAUUCAAGGACUGGUUCAGUUGCCUACAGGCCACGUGACCUUGGGUAAGUCACGCAAUCUUCCUGAGCCUCACUUUUUCCAUGCCAAGAUUCGCCUCCCAGGGUUGCUGUGGCAGAGGCGUAGAUGAGCCAGCUCUAUACUGCACGUGACCCUAAAAAGGAUUCAGAAAACAUUAGGCCCCAACAGCAUCUGCGGGGACCAUCUCCUUAGGGUCCCCAAGGCGUUGCCCUGCCCAUUUUGCAGACCUUUUGUUGUCAACAUUCAGUUAACUUAGAGCCACAUUCAUCCUCCAGGACCUGCAGGGUGGUGGACAAAGGCCGCAUCCCCUGAAAAGCAGGCCCUGAUCUGACGACUGUUCUGAGAGCCAGCACUGGCCCCAGGUUAAGAGCAGAAGGUCCCACUGCUACCCUGAGAGGCUCAAAACUAGCCAUUUCCAUCCCUGGGCUUCUGUGUCAUCAGCUCUAAAAUGAUGUUGAGACCUUUGGUUCCCAAGGGGGAAUGAGGGUUUCGUGUGUUGCCUAAACACUGUCCUCACCCCCUUGAUCUGAGAGCAGACCAGGAGCCAACAGACUGAUCAAUGCCAGCUUCACUUUCCCACUGCCCAGGCUGGCCCCCAGGGAAGAGCAGGACUUGGAGGGGGACUGGCAGGCAGGAUGGGCACUGGUGUAUGUAAGGCAGUGCUGCCCAGUGAAAGAGGUGCCCCUUUCAGAUCCACCAGCCUCUGAUGGAAUCUAAGCUCUACUUUUUGUUUAACUGGCCCCCUGAGGGCAUGCUUCAAUCCUGGAGGUACUGCAACAUACGUCAAUGUGUGAAGUAGACUCAGCACGCUCCUAUCCCAUCUCCCUCCUCCAAAAACUCAUUUGAUAUAUGUCCUCUAGUAGAGGAUGUAUUGAUAUAGGAGCUAAAAAAGAAAUUAUUUAGGCAGUUAGUGAGGGUAAGAGAGUCCUUGGUAAGGUUUCCCUUUUAAUAAAAAGCCGUCCCCAAAUCAUUUCUUUUCUAACAAAGAGCAGCCCGAAACAUCAAGCUGCAGACAUAGAAAAGCAAGCUGGAAGCUUGCACGCUUGAAUACCGGCAGCUGUGCCAAUAGGAAAAGGCUACCUGGGGAUCAGGCAUAUUCAACAUGGAGGCUUCAUGUUCCCUUCUUUGUCAACCAUGUGUGUAGUAAAGGAACAGGCCACAUGGCACCAACCAGGUAGAGAACCCAUCUGCAUAAUAAAAUAUUAGGAUGGGGCAGCCAGCUUUGUGCUAUGUAAAUGGCACACCUGCUCCAACCAAUCUUUGGGCCCUGUGUAAAUCAGACACCGUCUCCUGAAGCUGGUCUGUAAAACCCUGUGCAUUUCACCACGAAACCGGAAGACCCACUCGGGAGCCUCUCUCACUGCAGGAGAGAACACUUUUCUCUUUUCUCUUUCUCUCACCUAUUAAACCUCCACUCUUAAACUCACUUCUUGUGUGUCCGCAUCUUUGAUUUCCUCGGUGUGAGAUGACAACACCACUUCAAGUAUCAGAUGUUAAACUGAUAACAGAUACUCGACUUGAUCUUAGCCAAAAGGCCCAGAAGCUGUUGAGCUCUCCUUCCUGCUCUGUGUACCUGGGUGAGUGUCUGGGUAUCUAUAGGCCUCAGUUUUCCUUGUCUGUAAAUUGGGCACAAUACCACAUUUUCUGCAGUAUCACAGAAGGAGUAGAUGGUCCAUGCAGAGCACAUGGUUAACAUUAAUAUGUAGCUCUUAAUAAGUAGUAGUUACCAUUAUCUCUGCCAUCGUGAUGUCACUUAUAGCUCUCCUGGAGAUGGCUGCAGGUGUGAAGAGAACUAGAGCCCAGUCCUUGGAAUGCUGCAGAAUUGCAGGGUGCAGAGGAAGAGGGCUGACCACACCUGGGAACAUGACUCCUGUGAGCUGGCAUCUCCCAGUACGCGACGACAGGGUCCUCCCACACACAGAAUCCCCUCCUUGAAAUUCCUGGUCACAGACAUAGAACAGGCCAGCAAGGCAGGCAUGGUGGCCAGGCAAUGUUUUUCCUUUUGCAGUCAGCAUAUUUGCCUCAGGAAGAGGGGACUUUUCGGCACCCUGAUGUCCCUCUGUUUGUCCCUUCACUGGAGAGCAAGCAGGUUGAUAAGGUUCUAAUGGCACCUCUGAGACCUCGAGCCUAGGUUCUCACCUAGGACAGGGAGCCACCCACAACAUGGAAGCCAGAAACAGGCUAACUGGUGGCCGCUUCUUGCUCAUCCAUGGAGAGGAAAAGCGAAGCAAGGGUGAGGCAUGGUGGGGAAACCCUGGUCAAAACUCUCUCGCCCUGAAUAUUCCCCUUAGAGGGCAGCUGCCUGGAUGGGGGCACCCUGACUGGCUUGGCCUGGAUUGACGAGCUGAACUCUGGCCAGCAGCCUGGGUCCACGGAUCGCGAGGCUUAUCGGAGUCUUCCCUGAGACAGGGUUCUGUUAGGAAGGAGGAAGCAGAUGGAAGGUGGGCAGGCAGCUGACGGUGUCCACAACACCAUCAUGGAAAUCUUAAAUCUAAAGAGAAUUGAUUUCACCUGAUGGCUGAGCAGAAGCAUGUGUGACCAGAAAAGACCCUUGUACGAAGCUGGCCUGUGCCUCAAAAAAGGAUGUCAGUCCAGGUUCUUUGCACCCACAGCGGGGAAUGCAAUGUCAGAGCUGGGGAGUGGCCUGGCAGGCUGAGGGGAGCGGCUCAUGGACAAGGGCCAUUGUCAUCACCCAUAGCUGUGGUGGUACACAGGAUAUCUGCUCUGCCAGGAGGGGCAGGGAAUCAGCUGUGUCCUGGCCUCUCCCUGUCUCUCAUUCUCUAGCCCAGCCAUUUACCCCUAUUGCUUAUGGAAUUCAGCCCUGGAAGAGAUGUUCUAUCUGCCAGGAGCUCCACCAGCUCAUGCACAAUCUGGCAAAGGUGCCAGAAGACAGAGGUGUCCCCAGAGGGAGCCCUAAGCAACCAGCAUCCCAAAUGACCACAGAUGUCUGCUUCCUGCCUGAGUGAAUUUUCCUUUCUCAGAAAUGCAAUACCUCAUUGACUUGUAUUAUCUUUGGAAUGACAAUGGCCUAACUAAUUGGGAAUGCGUGACUUCAAUAAACAGUUUCACCAACUGCUCUUUCUAAAACUGUUUUCCAGGUCAACUAGUGUGUGAGAAGCAGUUAAUGCUUUGAGUUUUAGGAGAGAACAGGUCCUCUUCAUUCUCUGCCCUAAGGUAUCUGCCAACAUCUCGUAAAUCCAGGCUCACAUGAUAGCCUGGGCCCUAGGAUGACCACGGGAAUUUAUCCCUUGUGUCUACACUGAUGGAUGUUGGUAAUUUUCUGGAAUAUUGGGCUGAGAGGCAUUCUGAGGCCACACCAGAAAGAGCCCUGUGUGUCAUUCACAAUGUCUGCCAUGUGCAGAGGAGAGAAACGGCACAGAUGCCACACACUGGAUAUCCCAAGGCGAAGUGGCCUUCCAUAUAUACCAUAUAUAUUCCAAGGUCAAGAAGCAG
RNAcentral lists this long non-coding RNA (3713 nucleotides) under Homo sapiens (human). RNAcentral describes it as "HSALNT0338023". Lineage: Eukaryota; Metazoa; Chordata; Mammalia; Primates; Hominidae. The record is from RNAcentral.